CCUACGGGAGGCAGCAGUGGGGAAUAUUGCUCAAUGGGGGAAACCCUGAUGCAGCGACGCCGCGUGAGUGAAGAAGGAUUUAGGGAUGGAAAGCUCUAUCAGCAGGGGAGAAAAUGACGGUACGUGAUUAAGAAGCCCCGGCGAACUAGGUGCAAGCAGCCGCGGUAAUACGUAGGGGGCAAGCGUUAUCCGGAUUUACUGGGUGUAAAGGGAUCGUAGACGGCAGAACAAGUCUGGAGUGAAAUGCCGGGGCUUAACCCCGGACCUGGUUUGGAAACUGUGCAGCUAGAGUGCAGGGGAGGUAAGUGGAAUUCCUCGUGUAGCUGUGAAAUGCGUAGAUAUUAGGAGGAACACCAGUGGCGAAGGCGGCUUACUGGAGUGUAACUGACGUUGAGGCUCGAAAGCGCGGGGAGCAAACAGGAUUAGAUACCCUGGUAGUC
RNAcentral lists this ribosomal RNA (440 nucleotides) under uncultured bacterium. RNAcentral describes it as "partial 16S ribosomal RNA". It matches the Rfam family "Bacterial small subunit ribosomal RNA", at positions 338 to 795 of the family's 1533-position model. The record is from RNAcentral.